This 450-nucleotide ribosomal RNA is filed under the name uncultured bacterium. RNAcentral's name for it is "partial 16S ribosomal RNA". It matches the Rfam family "Bacterial small subunit ribosomal RNA", at positions 354 to 796 of the family's 1533-position model. The record is from RNAcentral.
GUGGGGAAUUUUGGACAAUGGGCGCAAGCCUGAUCCAGCAAUGCCGCGUGCAGGAAGAAGGCCUUCGGAUUGUAAACUGCUUUUGUACGGAACGAAACGGUCCGGGUUAAUACCCUGGGCUAAUGACGGUACCGUAAGAAUAAGCACCGGCUAACUACGUGCCAGCAGCCGCGGUAAUACGUAGGGUGCAAGCGUUAAUCGGAAUUACUGGGCGUAAAGCGUGCGCAGGCGGUUUUGUAAGACAGGCGUGAAAUCCCCGGGCUCAACCUGGGAAUUGCGCUUGUGACUGCAAGGCUGGAGUGCGGCAGAGGGGGAUGGAAUUCCGCGUGUAGCAGUGAAAUGCGUAGAUAUGCGGAGGAACACCGAUGGCGAAGGCAAUCCCCUGGGCCUGCACUGACGCUCAUGCACGAAAGCGUGGGGAGCAAACAGGAUUAGAUACCCUAGUAGUCC